Molecule: unclassified non-coding RNA, 380 nt
Filed under: Hevea brasiliensis (rubber tree)
Lineage: Eukaryota; Viridiplantae; Streptophyta; Magnoliopsida; Malpighiales; Euphorbiaceae
Source: RNAcentral
GCGAGGUCACGCAAAUCUUGUCGUGGGACACAGCGCCGAGCACGAUGGUGCAGGCCGACGCGCACAGGCCAUCGAUCACAACGGUCUCACCGGAGCCUUUGAGGCUUUGAUACUUGUCGACAUAGGUCCCGAUCCGGCCGCCACGGUCUUCAGCAAUCCGAACCACAGCGUGACUUGCGCCCACUCCGCCAAGGAGAAGCACCGCCGUCAGAAACCCCGUCACAAUCUUCAUUGCCGGCCCCGUCGCCCCCUGCCUGUAUCGAUCGGGGCAACAUCAGCGUGUUGCGAGUCUGGAAUUUUGUCCAGAUCGCACAGCUGNACGGAUUCUAUUGCAGUGUUGCUGGCUUGCUGCACCUGCACUGGCCGAUCCCGAAUUGGAA